Long non-coding RNA from Rosa chinensis, 451 nucleotides. RefSeq lists it as uncharacterized. Lineage: Eukaryota; Viridiplantae; Streptophyta; Magnoliopsida; Rosales; Rosaceae. The record is from RefSeq and is a predicted model, not a curated record. The transcript is spliced from 3 exons.
CGCACCGCCGUCGCCGGAAUCCCAAUCCUCACCAAAAUUUCCAGAUUUUCUUCUCUUCAUCCCCUCUUUCCAUUUCUCCAACCAAAAUCAAGAAAUUUGGCCAUCCAACCCUCCAAAAACCUUAGAACCCGAAGCUAAAUUGGGGCUUUUUGUGAUUUCUUCUUUCCAAGUUCAAAUCAAGAGGCUAGGCUAUGGGUUUGGCAAGGAUUUGUGGUGAAGAAGGCCAAUGAGGAGGAUUAGGCCAUGAGUUUUGAAGAAGAAAGGGUAAGGAAUGGGUUUUGGACAAACCCUAGAAUUUUUGGAAUUUAUUUGGUUGAUUUUGAUUUUGUUGAGAUAUUGUUGUUGUUGGAAAAAUUGUGAAAAUUAGAUAUUUGAAGAGAGUUUAAUUAGUAGGAUUUUAUUGGUCUAAUUUUCAAAGGAUUGGAAAUUGGUGUUGAAGAUUUUGGUGAUU